GGCUCGGUAGUGGACGGUCCACGCCUGCAUUCACUGUCAAGUUGUCAACGUCCAGCAGGAACCGCUCGUUCAACUCGAGCCCGGGCCA
Non-coding RNA from Mycena vulgaris, 88 nucleotides. Lineage: Eukaryota; Fungi; Basidiomycota; Agaricomycetes; Agaricales; Mycenaceae. The record is from the annotation of a GenBank genome assembly.